RNAcentral lists this ribosomal RNA (482 nucleotides) under uncultured bacterium. RNAcentral describes it as "partial 16S ribosomal RNA". It matches the Rfam family "Bacterial small subunit ribosomal RNA", at positions 30 to 507 of the family's 1533-position model. The record is from RNAcentral.
AUUGAACGCUGGCGGCAUGCUUUACACAUGCAAGUCGAACGGUAACAGGCCGCAAGGUGCUGACGAGUGGCGAACGGGUGAGUAAUGCAUCGGAACGUGCCCAGUCGUGGGGGAUAACUACUCGAAAGAGUAGCUAAUACCGCAUACGAUCUAUGGAUGAAAGCGGGGGACCGUAAGGCCUCGCGCGAUUGGAGCGGCCGAUGUCAGAUUAGGUAGUUGGUGGGGUAAAGGCUCACCAAGCCAACGAUCUGUAGCUGGUCUGAGAGGACGACCAGCCACACUGGGACUGAGACACGGCCCAGACUCCUACGGGAGGCAGCAGUGGGGAAUUUUGGACAAUGGGCGCAAGCCUGAUCCAGCAAUGCCGCGUGCAGGAAGAAGGCCUUCGGGUCGUAAACUGCUCUUGUACGGAACGAAACGGCUCUGGUUAAUACCCGGGGCUAAUGACGGUACCGUAAGAAUAAGCACCGGCUAACUACGUG